AUUGAACGCUGGCGGCAGGCCUAACACAUGCAAGUCGAACGGUAACAGGAAGAAGCUUGCUUCUUUGCUGACGAGUGGCGGACGGGUGAGUAAUGUCUGGGAAACUGCCUGAUGGAGGGGGAUAACUACUGGAAACGGUAGCUAAUACCGCAUAACGUCGCAAGACCAAAAAGGGGGACCUUCGGGCCUCUUGCCAUCGGAUGUGCCCAGAUGGGAUUAGCUAGUAGGUGGGGUAACGGCUCACCUAGGCGACGAUCCCUAGCUGGUCUGAGAGGAUGACCAGCCACACUGGAACUGAGACACGGUCCAGACUACUACGGGAGGCAGCAGUGGGGAAUAUUGCACAAUGGGCGCAAGCCUGAUGCAGCCAUGCCGCGUGUAUGAAGAAGGCCUUCGGGUUGUAAAGUACUUUCAGCGGGGAGGAAGGGAGUAAAGUUAAUACCUUUGCUCAUUGACGUUACCCGCAGAAGAAGCACCGGCUAACUCCGUG
Molecule: ribosomal RNA, 490 nt
Filed under: uncultured bacterium
Lineage: Bacteria
Description: partial 16S ribosomal RNA
Rfam family: Bacterial small subunit ribosomal RNA
Source: RNAcentral